UGGGGAAUAUUGGGCAAUGGACGCAAGUCUGACCCAGCAACGCCGCGUGAAGGAAGAAGGCUUUCGGGUUGUAAACUUCUUUUAAGGGGGAAGAGAAGAAGACGGUACCCCUUGAAUAAGCCACGGCUAACUACGUGCCAGCAGCCGCGGUAAUACGUAGGUGGCAAGCGUUAUCCGGAUUUACUGGGUGUAAAGGGCGUGUAGCCGGAGAAGCAAGUCAGAUGUGAAAAUCAUGGGCUCAACUCAUGAACUGCAUUUGAAACUGCAUCCCUUGAGUGUCGGAGAGGUAAUCGGAAUUCCUAGUGUAGCGGUGAAAUGCGUAGAUAUUAGGAAGAACACCGGUGGCGAAGGCGGAUUACUGGACGAUAACUGACGGUGAGACACGAAAGUGUGGGGAGCAAACAGGAUUAGAUACCCUGGUAGU
This 424-nucleotide ribosomal RNA is filed under the name uncultured Oscillibacter sp. RNAcentral describes it as "bacterial SSU rRNA". It matches the Rfam family "Bacterial small subunit ribosomal RNA", at positions 355 to 794 of the family's 1533-position model. The record is from RNAcentral. Lineage: Bacteria; Bacillati; Bacillota; Clostridia; Eubacteriales; Oscillospiraceae.